CCUACGGGAGGCUGCAGUGAGGAAUAUUGGUCAAUGGACGCAAGUCUGAACCAGCCAUGCCGCGUGCAGGAAGACGGCUCUAUGAGUUGUAAACUGCUUUUGUACGAGGGUAAACGCAGAUACGCGUAUCUGUCUGAAAGUAUCGUACGAAUAAGGAUCGGCUAACUCCGUGCCAGCAGCAGCGGUAAUACGGAGGAUUCAAGCGUUAUCCGGAUUUAGUGGGUUUAAAGGGUGCGUAGGCGGUCGGAUAAGUUAGAGGUGAAAUCCCGAGGCUCAACUUCGGAAUUGCCUCUGAUACUGUUCGGCUAGAGAGUAGUAGCGGUAGGCGGAAUGUCUGGUGUAGCGGUGAAAUGCUUAGAGAUCAUACAGAACACCGAUUGCGAAGGCAGCUUACCGGGCUACUUCUGACGUUGAGGCACGAAAGCGUGGGGAGCAAACAGGAUUAGAUACCCGGGUAGUC
This 460-nucleotide ribosomal RNA is filed under the name uncultured bacterium. RNAcentral describes it as "partial 16S ribosomal RNA". It matches the Rfam family "Bacterial small subunit ribosomal RNA", at positions 338 to 795 of the family's 1533-position model. The record is from RNAcentral.